GACGAACGCUGGCGGCGUGCUUAACACAUGCAAGUCGAACGGAAAGGCCCUGCUUUUGUGGGGUGCUCGAGUGGCGAACGGGUGAGUAACACGUGAGUAACCUGCCCUUGACUUUGGGAUAACUUCAGGAAACUGGGGCUAAUACCGGAUAGGAGCUCCUGCUGCAUGGUGGGGUUGGAAAGUUUCGGCGGUUGGGGAUGGACUCGCGGCUUAUCAGCUUGUUGGUGGGGUAGUGGCUUACCAAGGCUUUGACGGGUAGCCGGCCUGAGAGGGUGACCGGCCACAUUGGGACUGAGAUACGGCCCAGACUCCUACGGGAGGCAGCAGUGGGGAAUAUUGCACAAUGGGCGGAAGCCUGAUGCAGCAACGCCGCGUGCGGGAUGACGGCCUUCGGGUUGUAUACCGCUUUCGCCUGUGACGAAGCGUGAGUGACGGUAAUGGGUAAAGAAGCACCGGCUAACUACGUG
This 467-nucleotide ribosomal RNA is filed under the name uncultured bacterium. RNAcentral describes it as "partial 16S ribosomal RNA". It matches the Rfam family "Bacterial small subunit ribosomal RNA", at positions 28 to 507 of the family's 1533-position model. The record is from RNAcentral.